Molecule: ribosomal RNA, 706 nt
Filed under: uncultured bacterium
Lineage: Bacteria
Description: bacterial SSU rRNA
Rfam family: Bacterial small subunit ribosomal RNA
Source: RNAcentral
AGAUAAGUUGGAAGUGAAAUCCUAUGGCUUAACCAUAGAACUGCUUCCAAAACUGUCUAUCUAGAAUAUGGGAGAGGUAGAUGGAAUUUCUGGUGUAGGGGUAAAAUCCGUAGAGAUCAGAAGGAAUACCGAUUGCGAAGGCGAUCUACUGGAACAUUAUUGACGCUCAGAUGCGAAAGCGUGGGGAGCAAACAGGAUUAGAUACCCUGGUAGUCCACGCCCUAAACGAUGCACACUAGUUGUUGCCUUGCUAGACAAGGCAGUAAUGCAGUUAACACAGUAAGUGUGCCGCCUGGGGAGUACGGUCGCAAGAUUAAAACUCAAAGGAAUAGACGGGGACCCGCACAAGCGGUGGAGCAUGUGGUUUAAUUCGACGAUACGCGAAGAACCUUACCUGGCCUUGACAUAGAGAGAACUUACUAGAGAUAGUUUGGUGCUAGCUUGCUAGAACUUUCAUACAGGUGCUGCACGGCUGUCGUCAGCUCGUGUCGUGAGAUGUUGGGUUAAGUCCCGCAACGAGCGCAACCCUCGUGUUUAGUUAAUAACGGUUCGGCCGAUGACUCUAAACAGACUGCCUGGGCAACCAGGAGGAAGGUGAGGACGACGUCAAGUCAUCAUGGCCCUUACGGCCAGGGCUACACACGUGCUACAAUGGGGUAUACAAAGAGCCGCAAUACCGCAAGGUGGAGCAAAUCUCAUAAAAUAU